GACGAACCGUACGAACGUUAUUCGGAAUCACUGGGCUUAAAGGGCGCGUAGGCGGGCCGACGAGCCAAGGGUGAAAUCCUCCAGCUUAACUGGAGAACAGCCUUUGGGACCGGCGGCCUCGAGGGGUGCAGGGGCAUGCGGAACUCAGGGUGGAGCGGUGAAAUGCGUAGAGAUCCUGAGGAACACCGGUGGCGAAAGCGGCGUGCUGGACACCUACUGACGCUGAGGCGCGAAAGCCAGGGGAGCGAACGGG
Molecule: ribosomal RNA, 253 nt
Filed under: uncultured bacterium
Lineage: Bacteria
Description: partial 16S ribosomal RNA
Rfam family: Bacterial small subunit ribosomal RNA
Source: RNAcentral